GCGGGUGUGGCGGAAUUGGCAGACGCACUAGACUUAGGAUCUAGCGCCUUACGGCGUGGGGGUUCAAGUCCCUCCACCCGCA
This 82-nucleotide transfer RNA is filed under the name Aeribacillus pallidus. It matches the Rfam family "tRNA". Rfam says of the family: Transfer RNA (tRNA) molecules are approximately 80 nucleotides in length. The record is from Rfam by way of RNAcentral. Lineage: Bacteria; Bacillati; Bacillota; Bacilli; Caryophanales; Bacillaceae. RNAcentral also lists the same sequence under 16 other names.